RNAcentral lists this ribosomal RNA (381 nucleotides) under uncultured eukaryote. RNAcentral's name for it is "partial 18S ribosomal RNA". It matches the Rfam family "Eukaryotic small subunit ribosomal RNA", at positions 592 to 976 of the family's 1831-position model. The record is from RNAcentral.
CAAUAGCGUAUAUUAAAGUUGUUGCAGUUAAAAAGCUCGUAGUUGGAUCUGUGGUGUGCGGUGGGCUCCGGGCACUUGUUGUCUGAGUAGCUCGCCGCUGCCAUCCUUGGGUGGAACCUGUGUGGCAUUAGGUUGUCGUGCAGGGGAUGCCCAUCGUUUACUGUGAAAAAAUUAGAGUGUUCAAAGCAGGCUUAUGCCGUUGAAUAUAUUAGCAUGGAAUAAUGAGAUAGGACUUUUUCGCUAUUUUGUUGGUUUGCGCGAAGAGGUAAUGAUUAAUAGGGACAGUUGGGGGGUAUUCGUAUUCCAUUGUCAGAGGUGAAAUUCUUGGAUUUUUGGAAGACGAACUACUGCGAAAGCAUUUACCAGGGAUGUUUUCAUUAA